This is a small nuclear RNA of Cebus imitator (Panamanian white-faced capuchin), 107 nucleotides long. The record is from Ensembl. NCBI's taxonomy places the organism in Eukaryota, Metazoa, Chordata, Mammalia, Primates, Cebidae.
GUGCUCACUUCAGCAGCACAUACAUUAAAACUGGAAUGAUGCAGAGAAGACUAGCAUGGUCCCUGUUCAAGGAUGACACGCAAAUUGGUGAAGCGUUCCAUAUUUUU